GCACAGCUCACGUAUGAGGCACUGAUUCGCUUCUUAAAAAAUGCAGCCAAUGAGAUCCCAAUCGAGCUGGAGCUGCUUGAGGCUCAGAUGCACCCAAACAUACUCGAUGUGUUUUAUGAAGUCGUCAUCUUCGGGUGGUUCAUCUAUGACACCGCACCUGAGUUUGUAGAUGGCGGUUUCCUGAGUACACUGUUUGAACACAUCAACAGCUGGG
Trichomycterus rosablanca is the source of this 214-nucleotide long non-coding RNA. RefSeq lists it as uncharacterized. NCBI's taxonomy places the organism in Eukaryota, Metazoa, Chordata, Actinopteri, Siluriformes, Trichomycteridae. The transcript is spliced from 3 exons. The record is from RefSeq and is a predicted model, not a curated record.